Molecule: RNA transcript, 1328 nt
Organism: Sapajus apella (tufted capuchin)
Lineage: Eukaryota; Metazoa; Chordata; Mammalia; Primates; Cebidae
Gene name: keratin, type II cytoskeletal 8-like
Exons: 3
Source: RefSeq, a predicted model, not a curated record
AUGGACAAAACAGGGAGAGCCUGUGGCUGUUGCCUGCCUGCCUCCGCUCCUGCCUCCACCACAUCCAUUAGGGUGACCCAGAAGUCCUACAAGGUGUCCACCUCUGGCUCCCAGGCCUUCAGCAGCCGAUCUUGCACGAGUGGGCCCUGUGCCCACAUCAGCUCCUCGAGCUUCUCCCGAGUGGGCAGCAGCAGCUUCUGGGGCAGCCUGGGUGCAGGCUAUGCUGGGGCCAGCAGCAUGGACAUGGGCAUGGGUAUGGGAGGCAUCACCACCGGCAGGGUCAACCAGAGCCUGCUGAGUCCCCUUAACCUGGAAGUGAGCCCCAACAUCCAGGCCCUGCGUACCCAGGAGAAGGAGCAGAUCUAGACCCUCAACAAGAAGUUUGCCUCCUUCAUCAACAAGGUGGGUUCUUGGAGCAGCAGAACAAGAUGCUGGAGACCAAGUGGAGCCUCCUACAGCCGCAGAAGACUGCUCGGAGCAACAUGGACAACAUGUUUGAGAGCUACAUCAAUAACUUGAGGCGGCAGCCGGAGACUCUGGGCCAGGAGAAGCUGAAGCUGGAGGCGGAGCUUGGCAACAUGCAGGGGCUGGUGGAGGACUUCCAGAACAAGUAUGAGGAAGAGAUCAAUAAGCGUACAGAGAUGGAGAAUGAAUUUGUCCUCAUCAAGAAGGAUGUGGAUGAAGCUUACCUGAACAAAGUAGAGCUGAAGUCUUCCCCGCAACGGGCCAAGCAGGACAUGGCGCGGCAGCUGCGUGAGUACCAGGAGCUGAUGAAUGUCAAGCUGGCCCUGGACAUCGAGAUCGCCACCUACCGCAAGCUGCUGGAAGGCGAGGAGAGCCGGCUGGAGUCUGGGAUGCAGAACAUGAGUAUCCACACGUAGACCACCAGCGGCUAUGCAGGUAGUCUGAGCUCUGCCUAUAGGGGCCUCACAAGCCCCGGCCUCAGCUAUGGCCUGGCUCCAGCUUUGGCUCUUGUAUGAGCUCCAGCUCCUUCAGCUGCACCAGCACCACCAAGGCUGUGGUUGUGAAGAAGAUUGAGACCCCCGAUGGGAGGCUGGUAUCUGAGUCCUCUGACGUCCUGCCCAAGUGAACAGCUGCGGCAGCCCCUCCCAGCCUGCCCCACCUGAGGCUGCCCCAGAGCCCGGGAGGGAGGUCGCUGUGCAGGGGAGCACAGGGAACAGGAGACCCACCUGAGGCUCAGCCCUAGCCCUCAGCCUACCCGCGGGGAGUUUACUGCCUGGGGAACCCCUUGCCCCUGCCUCCAGCUGCAUAACAAUUCAAUUGCCUUUUUUUUUUUUUGGCCCGAAAUAAAACCUCAGCUAGCUCUG